AUGGUGAGACGAGGGCCGUUCGACGGACUGUUCGGUUUCUCUCAGGGCGCCCUCCUGUCGGCCGCGCUUGUUGGGCUCCAGCAACAAGGGCUGGCCUUGAACAUGGUUCCUAGGGUGAAGUUCGUUAUGACCAUAUCCGGUGCGAAGAUCCAGUCGCCGGCAUUGGCUGCCAAGGCGUACGCCAACAAGAUCAACUGCACUUCGCUUCACUUCAUUGGUGACGGUGACUUCGUGAAAGCCCACGGCGAGGAGCUGGCGGACUCGUUCGUGGAUCCACUUGUCAUACGCCACCCGGCCGGGCACACGGUCCCCAGACUCGACGAGAAGGGCCUCCAGGCGAUGCUCAGCUUCCUUGACAAGAUCGAAAGUGGUCUGGCGAGAGAUUGAUCAACUGUGCUAACCACCACUCUGUUUCAUGAGUUUAUGGCAUAGUAGUAGUACUAACAUCUACUAACAUGGAUGACUGGCAUUUGAAGACCACGAUAACCGUUUAACACAAGGCUGCGGAAAAGUAUUAUUAGGAGGCAGUUCUGAAGAUCAAAAAGGCGCAAGGGGGCAUGGCGGGAAGCCUAUGGCUAGGAGGAUCUGCUUGAGCUCUAUUCUUUUGCGUGCUCUGGGUGUGUGAGCUCAAAUAUGAACUUCCGGUUUUUUGCUUAGGACUGGCAGAACUGUGUUUCAAGCUUCUUGCGUGUAGUUGCUGUCUGUCUGCCGCAUAUGUUCCCAGGCUUUCAGUUUUUUUUUUGCGGGGUACGUUUUCUUUUUGCCCUUUCUACUCUUUAGUUUCAUGUAAUAAAUGAAAAUCGAUGAGGGCUUGUUCGGUUGACAUGGAAAAUGAAGGGAUUUGGCAGGGAUUGCACCCUCUACAAGUGAAAAUCCCCUCCAAUCCACCCCAAUCCCCUGUGAGGGGGUGUAACUGAACGAAGCCUGAGGAGGCUCAUUGUUUCAAAAGAAAUU
RNAcentral lists this ribosomal RNA (954 nucleotides) under Triticum aestivum (bread wheat). Its description in RNAcentral is "partial small subunit ribosomal RNA". Lineage: Eukaryota; Viridiplantae; Streptophyta; Magnoliopsida; Poales; Poaceae. The record is from RNAcentral.